RNAcentral lists this ribosomal RNA (478 nucleotides) under uncultured bacterium. RNAcentral describes it as "partial 16S ribosomal RNA". It matches the Rfam family "Bacterial small subunit ribosomal RNA", at positions 29 to 507 of the family's 1533-position model. The record is from RNAcentral.
AUGAACGCUGGCGGCGUGCUUAACACAUGCAAGUCGAACGAAGCACCUUGAUUUGAUUCUUCGGAUGAAGAUCUUGGUGACUGAGUGGCGGACGGGUGAGUAACGCGUGGGUAACCUGCCUCAUACAGGGGGAUAACAGUUAGAAAUGACUGCUAAUACCGCAUAAGACCACAGCACCUCAUGGUGCAGGGGUAAAAACUCCGGUGGUAUGAGAUGGACCCGCGUCUGAUUAGGUAGUUGGUGGGGUAACGGCCUACCAAGCCGACGAUCAGUAGCCGACCUGAGAGGGUGACCGGCCACAUUGGGACUGAGACACGGCCCAAACUCCUACGGGAGGCAGCAGUGGGGAAUAUUGCACAAUGGGGGAAACCCUGAUGCAGCGACGCCGCGUGAGCGAUGAAGUAUUUCGGUAUGUAAAGCUCUAUCAGCAGGGAAGAAAAUGACGGUACCUGACGAAGAAGCACCGGCUAAAUACGUG